GCUCAAAUUUGAAAUCUGGCCCCCAGGGCCCGAGUUGUAAUUUGCAGAGGAUGCUUUUGGCGCGGUGCCUUCCGAGUUCCCUGGAACGGGACGCCAUAGAGGGUGAGAGCCCCGUCUGGUCGGACGCCUAGCCUGUGUAAAGCUCCUUCGACGAGUCGAGUAGUUUGGGAAUGCUGCUCUAAAUGGGAGGUAUAUGUCUUCUAAAGCUAAAUACCGGCCAGAGACCGAUAGCGCACAAGUAGAGUGAUCGAAAGAUGAAAAGCACUUUGAAAAGAGGGUUAAAUAGUACGUGAAAUUGUUGAAAGGGAAGCGCUUGUGACCAGACUUGGGCCCGGUGGAUCAUCCAGCGUUCUCGCUGGUGCACUCCGCCGGGUUCAGGCCAGCAUCAGUUCGCCGCGGGGGAAAAAGGCUUCGGGAACGUGGCUCCUACGGGAGUGUUAUAGCCCGUUGCAUAAUACCCUGGGGCGGACUGAGGUUCGCGCUCCGCAAGGAUGCUGGCGUAAUGGUCAUCAGCGACCCGUCUUGAAACACGGACCAAGGAGUCGUCUUCGUAUGCGAGUGUUCGGGUGUAAAACCCCUACGCGUAAUGAAAGUGAACGCAGGUGAGAGCUUCGGCGCAUCAUCGACCGAUCCUGAUGUUCUCGGAUGGAUUUGAGUAAGAGCAUACGGGGCCGGACCCGAAAGAAGGUGAACUAUGCCUGUAUAGGGUGAAGCCAGAGGAAACUCUGGUGGAGGCUCGCAGCGGUUCUGACGUGCAAAUCGAUCGUCAAAUAUGGGCAUGGGGGCGAAAGACUAAUCGAACCUUCUAGUAGCUGGUUUCCGCCGAAGUUUCCCUCAGGAUAGCAGUGUUGAACUCAGUUUUAUGAGGUAAAGCGAAUGAUUAGGGACCCGGGGGCGCUUUUUAGCCUUCAUCCAUUCUCAAACUUUAAAUAUGUAAGAAGC
RNAcentral lists this ribosomal RNA (942 nucleotides) under Purpureocillium lilacinum. RNAcentral's name for it is "eukaryotic LSU rRNA". It matches the Rfam family "Eukaryotic large subunit ribosomal RNA", at positions 107 to 1081 of the family's 3401-position model. The record is from RNAcentral. Lineage: Eukaryota; Fungi; Ascomycota; Sordariomycetes; Hypocreales; Ophiocordycipitaceae.